RNAcentral lists this long non-coding RNA (636 nucleotides) under Hordeum vulgare. RNAcentral's name for it is "long non-coding RNA (HVUL_LNC014601)". The record is from RNAcentral. Lineage: Eukaryota; Viridiplantae; Streptophyta; Magnoliopsida; Poales; Poaceae.
GUCGCUGGCGACCGCGUGGACUCCUCUUCGUCAGCCCCCAUCGUCGUCGCACCUGUCAAGACUGCAUUUUUACUUUCCAGAGGUGGAUCCGAAGCGCGCCGGCUCGAUCUGCAACGCCAGUAGUUGCAGUACGCCGCUCCCCCCUCUCGAUCUGCCCCGUCUCCGGCUGCUUCAGCAGGCCAAGAAACCAAAACGCCCCCCGUGCCCGGCGACCUCGGUAUCUCCAUCGACUGUCUCAGCAAGCGCUACCUCGUCCGGCUCCCGCAUAGCUCAUGGUAAGACCCUCAUUUGCUCUCUUGGCCUGCUUGCUUGCUUGCUUGCGAGCCCUCCUCUGAAUUUACUGAACUUUUUUGACAGGUAAUGUUUAAUCCAUCAAUGUGAAUCAAUGUGAGAGGCUCGUGACAGUAAUCCUUUUUUGACAGGCUCGUGACAGUAAUCCAUCAAUGUGAAUCAAGUUGUGACAGGUAUCUCUGCAUGCUUAAUUCACUCAACUUUUUUGCAGUAGAUGCACUGAAUUUAACAGAAAGAGUACGCAAGGAGUACAUGGAGUUGAUACACUGAAUUUUGUUUGAAAUAGAUGUCUUCUCGUCAAAGUCGGAUCAUUGGGAGGAGAGGCCUUUUGUUAGAGAAGGUAAC